AGUGAACGCUGGCGGUAGGCCUAACACAUGCAAGUCGAACGGCAGCACAGUAAGAGCUUGCUCUUACGGGUGGCGAGUGGCGGACGGGUGAGGAAUACAUCGGAAUCUACUUUUUCGUGGGGGAUAACGUAGGGAAACUUACGCUAAUACCACAUACGACCUACGGGUGAAAGCAAGGGAUCUUCGGACCUUGCGCGAUUGAAUGAGCCGAUGUCGGAUUAGCUAGUUGGCGGGGUAAAGGCCCACCAAGGCGACGAUCCGUAGCUGGUCUGAGAGGAUGAUCAGCCACACUGGAACUGAGACACGGUCCAGACUCCUACGGGAGGCAGCAGUAGGGAAUAUUGGACAAUGGGCGCAAGCCUGAUCCAGCCAUACCGCGUGGGUGAAGAAGGCCUUCGGGUUGUAAAGCCCUUUUGUUGGGAAAGAAAAGCAGCAGGUUAAUACACCGCUGUCCUGACGGUACCCAAAGAAUAAGCACCGGCUAACUUCGUG
RNAcentral lists this ribosomal RNA (492 nucleotides) under uncultured bacterium. RNAcentral's name for it is "partial 16S ribosomal RNA". It matches the Rfam family "Bacterial small subunit ribosomal RNA", at positions 29 to 507 of the family's 1533-position model. The record is from RNAcentral.